Molecule: ribosomal RNA, 474 nt
Filed under: uncultured Ralstonia sp.
Lineage: Bacteria; Pseudomonadati; Pseudomonadota; Betaproteobacteria; Burkholderiales; Burkholderiaceae
Description: bacterial SSU rRNA
Rfam family: Bacterial small subunit ribosomal RNA
Source: RNAcentral
UCCUACGGGAGGCAGCAGUGGGGAAUUUUGGACAAUGGGCGAAAGCCUGAUCCAGCAAUGCCGCGUGUGUGAAGAAGGCCUUCGGGUUGUAAAGCACUUUUGUCCGGAAAGAAAUGGCUCUGGUUAAUACCUGGGGUCGAUGACGGUACCGGAAGAAUAAGGACCGGCUAACUACGUGCCAGCAGCCGCGGUAAUACGUAGGGUCCAAGCGUUAAUCGGAAUUACUGGGCGUAAAGCGUGCGCAGGCGGUUGUGCAAGACCGAUGUGAAAUCCCCGAGCUUAACUUGGGAAUUGCAUUGGUGACUGCACGGCUAGAGUGUGUCAGAGGGGGGUAGAAUUCCACGUGUAGCAGUGAAAUGCGUAGAGAUGUGGAGGAAUACCGAUGGCGGAGGCAGCCCCCUGGGAUAACACUGACGCUCAUGCACGAAAGCGUGGGGAGCAAACAGGAUUAUAUACCCUGGUACUCCACGCCCU